GAUGAAGAACGCAGCGAAAUGCGAUAAGUAAUGUGAAUUGCAGAAUUCAGUGAAUCAUCGAAUCUUUGAACGCAUCUUGCGCUCCUUGGUAUUCUGAGGAGCAUGCCUGUUUGAGUGUCAUUAAAUUCUCAACCGCACUGACUUUGAAUUGGUGUGGCUUGGAUUUGGGGGGAAAAUUGUUGUGGGCUUUUUUGUAUAGUCUGCUCCCCUGAAAUUGAUUAGCGGUACCUUUGUGGAACUGUCUACAGGUGUGAUAAUUAUCUACAUCCUAGACAUCUGCUGGAAUGCUGCUUUCUAAACCUUACUUGUAUUGACAAUCUUGACCUCAAAUCAGGUAGGACUACCCGCUGGACUUAAGCAUAUCAAUAAGCGGAGGA
Molecule: unclassified non-coding RNA, 377 nt
Filed under: soil metagenome
Description: partial contains 5.8S ribosomal RNA, internal transcribed spacer 2, and large subunit ribosomal RNA
Rfam family: 5.8S ribosomal RNA (bases 1-120)
Source: RNAcentral